RNAcentral lists this ribosomal RNA (240 nucleotides) under uncultured Lactobacillus sp. RNAcentral describes it as "partial 16S ribosomal RNA". It matches the Rfam family "Bacterial small subunit ribosomal RNA", at positions 122 to 354 of the family's 1533-position model. The record is from RNAcentral. Lineage: Bacteria; Bacillati; Bacillota; Bacilli; Lactobacillales; Lactobacillaceae.
UAACCUGCCCAAGAGAUCGGGAUAACACCUGGAAACAGAUGCUAAUACCGGAUAACAACAGAUGAUGCCUAUCAACUGUUUAAAAGAUGGUUCUGCUAUCACUCUUGGAUGGACCUGCGGUGCAUUAGCUAGUUGGUAAGGUAACGGCCUACCAAGGCGAUGAUGCAUAGCCGAGUUGAGAGACUGAUCGGCCACAUUGGGACUGAGACACGGCCCAAACUCCUACGGGAGGCAGCAGAG